AUGGCGGUGCAGCAGUGUACGGUGGCGCUCUUGGUGGCCGUCGCCCUCGUCUCGUACGCUGCCGAAGCUGGCUACGCCCCAGCCGGGCCACAGCCCAAGGCCACGACCGAGGAGCAGAAGCUAGCUGAGAAGGCCAACAACGCCUUCAAGGCGGCCGUGGCGGCCGCAGCCGCAGCCCCUCCAGAGGACAAGGGCAAGAUAUUCGUCAAGACCUUCGUGCAGAUCUUCGGCAGCUGGUCUCUUGAGGGGGUCACCGACACGUCCAGCACCAAAGCCAUUUUCAACUCCAGGGUCGGCUUCACUCUGGCAGGGGCCGCACUGAAAGCCCAGGGUGCCACCCCGGAGGCCAAGUAUGAAUCCUUCGUGGCCAUGUUCGACAAGUCGCUCUGCAUCAUCGUCGGCAUCAUGAAGGUCCACGCCGGCGAGGAAGUCAAGGGGCCGAUCCCUGCCGGCGAGCUCAAGGCCAUGGACCAGAUGGACGCCGCCUUCUGCACUGCAGCCACCACCGCCGACGCUGCCCCGAUAAAGGACAGGCCCGCCGUCUUCGACUCUGCCUUCAGCAAGGCCAUCAAGGAGACCACGGGCGAUGCAUACGAGGCCUACAAGUUUGUCCCCGCCCUCGAGUCCGCCAUCAAGAAGACCUACGCUGGGUUUAUUCCCGGGAGUCCCCAGGACAAGCGCACGCUCUUUGAGGCCACCCUGAGCGACACCAUCGUCUCCAUGGCCGCCACUCCCACCGCCGCCACUCCCACCGCCGCCGCUGCCGGUGGCUACAAAGUCUGA
RNAcentral lists this ribosomal RNA (783 nucleotides) under Triticum aestivum (bread wheat). Its description in RNAcentral is "partial small subunit ribosomal RNA". Lineage: Eukaryota; Viridiplantae; Streptophyta; Magnoliopsida; Poales; Poaceae. The record is from RNAcentral.